GACCUACGGCAUGGUGUGAACAGGUCAUGUGUGAUGCAGUGUGAUAGUGAAAUAUGCUGCAUCGCGUGUGACCUCCCUACACAGCACUGUGUC
This is a non-coding RNA of Ornithorhynchus anatinus (platypus), 93 nucleotides long. RefSeq annotates it as microRNA mir-1421aa. The record is from RefSeq and is marked provisional. NCBI's taxonomy places the organism in Eukaryota, Metazoa, Chordata, Mammalia, Monotremata, Ornithorhynchidae. The transcript has a single exon.